RNAcentral lists this ribosomal RNA (294 nucleotides) under Anophryoides haemophila. Its description in RNAcentral is "partial Bacterial large subunit ribosomal RNA". It matches the Rfam family "Bacterial large subunit ribosomal RNA", at positions 263 to 518 of the family's 2925-position model. The record is from RNAcentral. Lineage: Eukaryota; Ciliophora; Oligohymenophorea; Philasterida; Glauconematidae.
AUGUGGCCAAACCGUGUGUGUGUUCAAGCCGGCAGGCGUUGCAUGUGCGGGGUUGUGGGGGCCUGUGUGAUCCUGCUGCCGUGGGAUCGGCUUGCAUGUGGUGUGAAGUUGAAUCGUCUGGGAAGGCGGACCGUAGUGGGUGAGAGUCCCGUAGACGUGAGUGUCAUGUGUGGUUUCAGGUUGCCCCAAGUAGCGCGGUACUCGUGGAAUGUCGCGUGAAUCUGGCGGGACCACCCGUUAAGCCUAUACUUCUUGGUGACCGAUAGUGUAUCAGUACCGUGAGGGAAUGGUGAA